Molecule: ribosomal RNA, 651 nt
Filed under: Triticum aestivum (bread wheat)
Lineage: Eukaryota; Viridiplantae; Streptophyta; Magnoliopsida; Poales; Poaceae
Description: partial small subunit ribosomal RNA
Source: RNAcentral
AUGGCCAUCAAGGAGGCCGGCAAUGUCAUCAAGAGGUUCCUACCAUCUGAGUUCGGCUCUGACCCAGAGCGGGUUCACACCGUGGAUCCAGCGGCCACACUGUACGCUGGUAAAGUCAGCCUUCGCCGUCUGAUAGAGGCGGAGGGUAUACCUCAUACAUAUGUCUGCUGCAACGGGUUCGCCGAAACCUACCUUCUGAGCAUCGGCGAUGUUACGGCUGUUGGCGCUGGUCCUCCGGCCGACAAGAUCACUGUCCUAGGCGAUGGAGAUGCAAAAGGGGUGUUUGUGGUGGAAGAGGACAUAGCUGCCUACACGGUGAGAGCGAUUGACGAUACGAGGACCCUGAACAAGAUCCUGUACAUGAGGCCGUCGGCGAACAUCGUGUCCCACAACGAGCUCAUCGCACUGUGGGAGAAGAAAGCGGGAAGGACUUUCCAGCAGAUCGCUCGCAUCCCAGAGGCGGAUCUCCUCAAGUUGAUCAAGGAGGCGGCAUACCCUCUCAACAUGAUGCUGUCCCACUCGCUCUCCGUCUUCGUGAGGGGCGACCAAGCCAACUUCGACAUCGAGCCGUCCUUUGGUGUCGAGGCCACCGAGCUGUACCCUGACGUUAAGUACACCACCGUCGACGAGUACCUGGACCGCCUCCUCUGA